This 460-nucleotide ribosomal RNA is filed under the name uncultured bacterium. RNAcentral describes it as "partial 16S ribosomal RNA". It matches the Rfam family "Bacterial small subunit ribosomal RNA", at positions 338 to 795 of the family's 1533-position model. The record is from RNAcentral.
CCUACGUGUGGCAGCAGUGAGGAAUAUUGGUCCAUGGGCGCGAGCCUGACCCAGCCAAGUAGCGUGACGGAUGACUGCCCUACGGGUUGUAAACUUCUUUUAUAAAGGCAUAAAGUGAGGCACGUAUGCCUUUUUGUAUGUAUUUUAUGAAUAAGGAUCGGCUAACUCCGUGCCAGCAGCCGCGGUACUACGGAGGAUCCGAGCGUUAUCCGGAUUUAUUGGGUUUAAAGGGAGCGUAGAUGGGUUGUUAAGUCAGUUGUGAAAGUUUGCGGCUCAACCGUAAAAUUGCAAUUGAUACUGGCAGCCUUGAGUACAGUUGAGGGAGGCGGAAUUCGUGGUGUAGCGGUGAAAUGCUUAGAUAUCACGAAGAACUCCGAUUGCGAAGGCAGCCUACUAAACUGCCACUGACAUUGAUGCUCGAAAGUGUGGGUAUCAAACAGGAUUAGAUACCCGAGUAGUC